RNAcentral lists this ribosomal RNA (1969 nucleotides) under human gut metagenome. Its description in RNAcentral is "bacterial LSU rRNA". It matches the Rfam family "Bacterial large subunit ribosomal RNA", at positions 1 to 1980 of the family's 2925-position model. The record is from RNAcentral.
UAAAAUACUUAAGGGCACACAGGGAAUGCCUAGGUAGUAAGAGCCGAUGAAGGACGUGGUAAGCUGCGAUAAGCUUGGGCUAGCUGCAAACGAGCGUUAACCCCAAGAUUUCCCAAUGGAGCAAUCUGCUAAGAUGGAGUCUUAGCACGAAAGAGGGUACCGAGUGAACUGAAACAUCUAAGUAACUCGAGGAAAAGAAAGUAAAAACGAUUCCCCAAGUAGCGGCGAGCGAACGGGGAUGAGCCUAAACCAUAUAAGUGUCAAGGAUACAGCCGUUGCUUAUAUGGGGUUGUGGGAAGAACAAUUGAAGAACUGUAAGAUAUUCAACAUUAUUAUGCGCUGAACUGGAAUUAGUUGGAAAGCUAAAUCGUAGAAGGUGAUAAUCCUGUACAGGUAAACCGCAUAAUGUGUAUGUUCUCUCCCAAGUAACAUGGAACACGAGGAAUUCUGUGUGAAUCUGCGAGGACCAUAUCUCGUAAGGCUAAAUACUCUUACUAACCGAUAGCGUAUAGUACCGUGAGGGAAAGGUGAAAAGAACCCCGGGAGGGGAGUGAAAUAGAACCUGAAACUGUGUGCUUACAAGCGGUCAGAGCCCGCAAGGGUGAUGGCGUGCCUUUUGGAGAAUGAUCCUGCGAGUUACGUUCAGUGGCGAGGUUAAGUAUAACGGAGCCGAAGGGAAACCGAGUCUGAAUAGGGCGACAUAGUCGCUGGGCGUAGACGCGAAACCUGGUGAUCUAAGCCUGUCCAGGGUGAAGCUGUGGUAAGACACAGUGGAGGCCCGAACUCACCGCCGUUGAAAAGUUGGGAGAUGAGGUAGGUUUAGGGGUGAAAAGCCAAUCGAACUAGGAGAUAGCUCGUUCUCUCCGAAAUGCAUUUAGGUGCAGCCUUGAGUGUUUAAUUAUGGGGGUAGAGCACUGAAUGAACUAGGGGGCGUAUUGCUUACUGAAUUCAAUCAAACUCCGAAUACCAUAAUUCAAGAGCUCAGGAGUGAGACUAUGGGAAUUAACUUCCAUUGUCAAAAGGGAAACAACCCAGACCACCAGCUAAGGUCCCUAAUUAUAACUAAGUGGGAAAGGAGGUGGAGAUUCAUAAACAACCAGGAGGUUGGCUUAGAAGCAGCCAUACCUUUAAAGAGUGCGUAAUAGCUCACUGGUCGAGAGUCUCUGCGCCGACAAUGUAACGGGGCUAAGUUAUAAACCGAAGCUGUGGAAUUGCGCAAGCAAUUGGUAGGAGAGCGUUCUGUAGGCCGUUGAAGGAGAACUGAUAAGGGACUCUGGAGGUAUCAGAAGUGAGAAUGCAGGAAUAAGUAGCGAGAAGGGAGGCGAGAAUCCUCCCCGCCGGAAGACCAAGGUUUUCAGGGUAAAGCUUGUCUUCCCUGAGUAAGCCGGGACCUAAGCCGAGGCUAAAGUGCGUAGGCGAAUGGAAAACAGAUUAAUAUUUCUGUGCCAGUUAUAUUUUGUGAUGGAGGGACGCAGAAGGGUAUGCACGCAGGAGAACGGAAGUUCCUGUGGAAGCGCGUAGAGUGAUCUAGUAGGCAAAUCCGCUAGAUUAGACUUGAGGCGUAAAGGAAAGGUGCAAAUCCCACGCUGCCGAGAAAAGCUUCUAACGUUAAGGUAUAACUGCCCGUACCCGAAACCGACACAGGUGGUCAGGAUGAGAAAUCUAAGGCGGACAGGCUAACUCUCGUUAAGGAACUCUGCAAAAUUGCCCCGUAACUUAGGGAGAAGGGGUGCCUCUGAAUGUUAGUAAACACGCGUUACAAAGCGUUUGGAGGUCGCAGUGAAGAGGCUCAAGCAACUGUUUAACAAAAACACAGGUCUAUGCUAAGCUGUAAGGCGAUGUAUAUGGGCUGACACCUGCCCAGUGCCGGAAGGUUAAGAGGAGGAGUGAGAGCUCCGAAUUGAAGCCCCGGUGAACGGCGGCCGUAACUAUAACGGUCCUAAGGUAGCGAAAUUCCUUGUCGGGUAAG